This 253-nucleotide ribosomal RNA is filed under the name uncultured bacterium. RNAcentral's name for it is "partial 16S ribosomal RNA". It matches the Rfam family "Bacterial small subunit ribosomal RNA", at positions 524 to 776 of the family's 1533-position model. The record is from RNAcentral.
UACGUAGGGUGCAAGCGUUGUCCGGAAUUAUUGGGCGUAAAGAGCUCGUAGGCGGUCUGUCGCGUCGGAUGUGAAAACCCAGGGCUCAACCCUGGGCCUGCACUCGAUACGGGCAGACUAGAGUUCGGUAGGGGAGACUGGAAUUCCUGGUGUAGCGGUGAAAUGCGCAGAUAUCAGGAGGAACACCGGUGGCGAAGGCGGGUCUCUGGGCCGAAACUGACGCUGAGGAGCGAAAGCGUGGGGAGCAAACAGG